This 1373-nucleotide ribosomal RNA is filed under the name uncultured bacterium. RNAcentral's name for it is "bacterial SSU rRNA". It matches the Rfam family "Bacterial small subunit ribosomal RNA", at positions 28 to 1381 of the family's 1533-position model. The record is from RNAcentral.
GAUGAACGCUGGCGGCGUGCCUAAUACAUGCAAGUCGAGCGAACGGACGAGAAGCUUGCUUCUCUGAUGUUAGCGGCGGACGGGUGAGUAACACGUGGAUAACCUACCUAUAAGACUGGGAUAACUUCGGGAAACCGGAGCUAAUACCGGAUAAUAUUUUGAACCGCAUGGUUCAAAAGUGAGAGACGGUCUUGCUGUCACUUAUAGAUGGAUCCGCGCUGCAUUAGCUAGUUGGUAAGGUAACGGCUUACCAAGGCAACGAUGCAUAGCCGACCUGAGAGGGUGAUCGGCCACACUGGAACUGAGACACGGUCCAGACUCCUACGGGAGGCAGCAGUAGGGAAUCUUCCGCAAUGGGCGAAAGCCUGACGGAGCAACGCCGCGUGAGUGAUGAAGGUCUUCGGAUCGUAAAACUCUGUUAUUAGGGAAGAACAUAUGUGUAAGUAACUGUGCACAUCUUGACGGUACCUAAUCAGAAAGCCACGGCUAACUACGUGCCAGCAGCCGCGGUAAUACGUAGGUGGCAAGCGUUAUCCGGAAUUAUUGGGCGUAAAGCGCGCGUAGGCGGUUUUUUAAGUCUGAUGUGAAAGCCCACGGCUCAACCGUGGAGGGUCAUUGGAAACUGGAAAACUUGAGUGCAGAAGAGGAAAGUGGAAUUCCAUGUGUAGCGGUGAAAUGCGCAGAGAUAUGGAGGAACACCAGUGGCGAAGGCGACUUUCUGGUCUGUAACUGACGCUGAUGUGCGAAAGCGUGGGGAUCAAACAGGAUUAGAUACCCUGGUAGUCCACGCCGUAAACGAUGAGUGCCAAGUGUUAGGGGGUUUCCGCCCCUUAGUGCUGCAGCUAACGCAUUAAGCACUCCGCCUGGGGAGUACGACCGCAAGGUUGAAACUCAAAGGAAUUGACGGGGACCCGCACAAGCGGUGGAGCAUGUGGUUUAAUUCGAAGCAACGCGAAGAACCUUACCAAAUCUUGACAUCCUUUGACAACUCUAGAGAUAGAGCCUUCCCCUUCGGGGGGGCAAAGUGACAGGUGGUGCAUGGUUGUCGUCAGCUCGUGUCGUGAGAUGUUGAGUUAAGUCCCGCAACGAGCGCAACCCUUAAGCUUAGUUGCCAUCAUUAAGUUGGGCACUCUAAGUUGACUGCCGGUGACAAACCGGAGGAAGGUGGGGAUGACGUCAAAUCAUCAUGCCCCUUAUGAUUUGGGCUACACACGUGCUACAAUGGACAAUACAAAGGGCAGCGAAACCGCGAGGUCAAGCAAAUCCCAUAAAGUUGUUCUCAGUUCGGAUUGUAGUCUGCAACUCGACUACAUGAAGCUGGAAUCGCUAGUAAUCGUAGAUCAGCAUGCUACGGUGAAUACGUUCCCGGGUCU